GAUCCAGGGCACAACGCCACUGUCUGCCAGCUGCCCCGUGCUCUGGGCAGCGCGGGAGGCACAGGUGGUGAGGGGAAGCACAUGAAUGCUUGGGUUGGAAUCCCAGCUGUAUCAGCUUAGACACAGGUUAGAAUCCUUAGCCUCUUUGCAUGUCAGUUUGCUCAUCUAUAAACUGGUGUCAACAAAACUCACCUCGUAAGAGGGUUCUGGGGAUUAAAUGAAACUGCAUGUCAAGUGCCUUAACUACACCAGGCACUCAGGAAAGGGGACUAUUUUUAUAGGGAUUUCUCCAACUUGGCUGAAGAAUGCAGUUCCCAGGCAUGAAACACAUAAACAGUUUGAGAGAGAGGCAAUUCAAAACCAGAAGUGCUUGGGGCCGGCCUGGUGGUGUAGUGGUUAAGUUUGCGUGCUUUGCCUCGGGAGCCCGGGGUUCGCAGGCCCGGAUCCUGGGCAGGACCUACACAGCACUCAUCAAGCCAUGCUGUGGCAGCAUCCCACAUACAAAAUACAGAAAGACUGGCACAGACGUUAGCUCAGGCCCAUCUUCCUCACCAAACAAAACAAAACGAAAAACAGAAGUUCUUUUGGCACUGUAUUUGAAGCGAAUUGGAUUCCCUUUGGAUUAAGGAGGAGUAGACUUGAUCUCCUCCAAGAAUUUGCUUUCGAUUCAGACAGAUGCCAAAGCCACGGAGAACUCUGAGUUUGUCGGAAGAACCCCAGAGUGGAGGAUCAGACCCACGUGGAUUCGGGUUUUCAGGUUAUCAGAAGCAAAUCACUUCACUGGUCAGCCCCGAUUGCAGUGGUUCUCAAGCCCAGCUACACAUUAGCAUCACCUGGGGAACUCUUCCAACCUACGGGUGUGCGAGCCCGAUCCCAAACCAAUUUCACCAGGAUCUCUGCUGAGUGGGACGGGGUAUCACUGCUUUUAAGAGCUCCCUGGAUGAUUUUAAUGUGAGACCCACUGGACCAGAAGACCUGAAGAGCCCUCCCGGCAUCCUGGUUCCUACACCGAUGUAUGAUUCAGAGUAGACACUUAGUAUGUGUUUGUUGAAUAAAUGAAUGAAGAUUCUGACUCACCUUUUUCGCUAUGUCCAUAUUCACAAUGUAUGAGGGAAGCCCCCUGCCUCCACUGCCUUCAGUCUUUUGGGGACAGCUAAUGAAGUUGCCUUGCCCUCCUCCAGCCAAGGGGUGGGCUCAGGACCCAAACUAAGUGAGCCAGACUGUCCUCCCCGGGAAUUUGACUCUAGCUUCAGUGUCUCAAGAAUAGAAGAUGAAUUGGUACAGCUGAAUACCAAUGUUGAUGCCCUAAGACACUG
Molecule: long non-coding RNA, 1316 nt
Filed under: Equus caballus (horse)
Lineage: Eukaryota; Metazoa; Chordata; Mammalia; Perissodactyla; Equidae
Description: lncRNA (ENSECAG00000053513.1)
Source: RNAcentral